CUAAGCGAUCCUACAUUCCGUCGUCGUCGGUGUCGUCGUCGGCGUCGUCCACAAAUAUUCACUCUGUGGUUAAAGUUUUUGAAAUUUUAAUAACUUUCUUAAACUAUACUGCCUUUCUACCAAACUUGGACAGAAGCUUGUUUAUGAUCAUAAGAUAGUAUCCAGAUGUAAAUUUUGUAAAAAUAAAAUUCCAUUUUUUCUGUAUUUUACUUAUAAAUGGACUUAGUUUUU
This 231-nucleotide long non-coding RNA is filed under the name Mytilus galloprovincialis (Mediterranean mussel). The record is from RNAcentral. Lineage: Eukaryota; Metazoa; Mollusca; Bivalvia; Mytilida; Mytilidae.